AGGAUGAACGCUAGCGGCAGGCUUAACACGAUGCAAGUCGCGGGGCAGCGCGGAGUAGCAAUACGUCGUGGCGGCGACCGGCGGAAGGGUGCGUAACGCGUGAGCAACUUGCCCGCAUCAGGGGGAUAACCCGGUGGAAACGCCGCCUAAUACCCCGUAACAACAGGGACCGCAUGAUCCUUGUUUGAAAGCUCCGGCGGAUGCGGAUGGGCUCGCGUGACAUUAGCUAGUCGGCGGGUAACGGCCCACCGAGGCGACGAUGUCUAGGGGUUCUGAGAGGAAGGUCCCCACACUGGAACUGAGACACGGUCCAGACUCCUACGGGAGGCAGCAGUGAGGAAUAUUGGUCAAUGGGCGGAAGCCUGAACCAGCCAUGCCGCGUGCAGGAUUAAGGCCCUAUGGGUCGUAAACUGCUUUUGUGGCGGAGCAAUAAGGGUUACGUGUACGCCGAUGAGAGUACAUCACGAAUAAGCAUCGGCUAACUCCGUGCC
This 491-nucleotide ribosomal RNA is filed under the name uncultured bacterium. Its description in RNAcentral is "bacterial SSU rRNA". It matches the Rfam family "Bacterial small subunit ribosomal RNA", at positions 26 to 509 of the family's 1533-position model. The record is from RNAcentral.